GAGGGGACCUAGAUUUUAAAAAUCGUUUGUGCUUUUGAAAUCUUAGUGAAACUAAGCGUUUUCAAUCCAUAAAAAUUUUAACUAACACAUAAAAUUCAUUCAAAUCUCUUAAAACCUUAAAAAUGAUAGACUUCUAUUUUGCCCAUACAAAAGAAAGCAAUAGUGAAAUUUUAACUGAUAAAUAUUAAGAUGCUUUCUUCUUUAAGGAUUGUAGUUUCAAAUGUUUUUACACUAAAAACCAACUGACAGAUCUUUUAUGAAUAUUUGGAAAAUCAUCCUUCGCUUUUUUGCAGCCCAGAAAAGAAGCAAAAAGAAUCAUAAUAUGCAUUUUAUGUGGUGAUAUAAAAGAGUCCCAUGGUAAGAGCAGACGGAAAAUGGUAUAGUUAUUAUUAAUUUAGAAAAACAAAAGAGCAGCCCAGCAUUUCAGUAAUGUGGCAAGUUGUGUGCUCUUGAAGGAGAGAGGGUUUUAUAAUUGGAUUUUAGAGUAAUUUAGAAGACGAGAUAAGAUGUAAUGGUUGAGUAUUAGAGGUUAGAACUACAAGAGAAACCCAUAAUGUAAGGGUUCACUGCACUGGGGGACAACAGAACAAAGAGAAGCAGCGCCAACCGAAAACGGCCCCAGUGAGAAGCAACAAGUUGUCUCUGAAAAUGUCUCCUCAUCUGCCUUUGAGUGGUAUGGAAUCACUGCUGAGCCUCCACUAUUGGUGCCAUCAAAGACCUCAGUGAUGCCAAGGUUCUAAGGAUACAAAAAUGAAUGAGAUGCUAUCACCUGCUGUCAAGAAAUUCACAGCCUAGGGAGAGAGUGACAUAUGACCAGAGAGGGUCCAAUGUGGACAGAUAAUGAAGAAGGGAGUCAGCAGAGGAGAUUCUGAGAACACAAAGGAGAAGAGAGGCAGCAACCCAGCGUGGGUGGGGUGAGCUGAUCAGAGAAGGCCUCCUGGAGCAGUGCACCCAGAGCUGAUAUGGAGUUGGAAAGGUGAGUGCAUGAGUGAAGGAAAUGAGUGGAGUGGGGGAACAGUGUUCUGGGCAGAGUGGACCUCAUGACCCAGAAAGAGCCUGGUGUGUCCAGUGAUUCACUAUCUGUGAUCUAAGUAAAAUGCCUAAAGAGAGGCAGGUAUGUUAAUCUCCAAGACCCCCAGAAAAAAAGAGAUUGGUAUAGAGAGGCUUUGCACUAACUCCUCCUUUCCUGCCUGUUAUGGUUUGUCUGUGUCUCCACCCAAAUCUCAUCUUCAAUUCUAGUUCCCAUAGUCCCCAUGUGUUGUGGGAGGGACCCUGUGGGAGGUAACUGAAUCAUGGGAGUGGUUACCAUGAUUGUGAGUGAGUUCUCAAGAGAUCUGAUGAUUUUAUAAGGGACUUUUCCCGCUUUGCUCGGCACUUCUUCCUGACAUCAUGUUAAGAAGGACAUGUUUACUUCCCCUUCCACCAUGAUUGUAAGUUUCCUGAGGCCUCCCCAGCCAUGCAGAAAUGUGAGUCAAUUAAGCCUCUUUCCUUUAUAAAUUGCCCAGUCUCUGGCAGUCCUUUAUGGUAGUGGGAGAAUGGACUAAUACACUGCCACUGUAUUUACCCAAAUGACUCCAUCGCCUUCAUCUCAAUUCUUUACUGCGCUAUGACCACUCAGCUGUGGAUGUCACCAGAUUAGCAAAGCAAUGCCUUGGGUCCAGGUGACAGCCUUUAAACAUGAGCAGA
RNAcentral lists this long non-coding RNA (1686 nucleotides) under Homo sapiens (human). Its description in RNAcentral is "HSALNT0033156". Lineage: Eukaryota; Metazoa; Chordata; Mammalia; Primates; Hominidae. The record is from RNAcentral.